Molecule: non-coding RNA, 3000 nt
Organism: Nothobranchius furzeri (turquoise killifish)
Lineage: Eukaryota; Metazoa; Chordata; Actinopteri; Cyprinodontiformes; Nothobranchiidae
Source: RefSeq, a predicted model, not a curated record
AGCUUGGUAGAUGGGAUGACAGAAUAUUUUAUGAUCAUCCCACGUCUGGCCUGGGACAAAGGAGAGGCGGACAGCGUGUGGAGAUGUAUUAAAAAAUUAACUAGUGACCCAAAAUACCCCAGAACAUGGUGGAAUAAUUAUAUAUGGGAGUUAAUGUCCUUAGGUGGACAUGUACGAGGUCCUUUUCCUGGUAUGAUUCCGAAAACGAGUCAUGAUGCAUGGCUUGUGAAUAGCACAUCGAAGAGAUGGGCUCUGAAUGUGUCAUAUGAAAUGUGGACGGAGGAUGUUCAUGGCUUAAUGGGACAUUUUGCCCCAAACGGGUUUGAUAAGCCAGGGCGAGUGACAGAGUACGAUGUCCUUUUUGGACAAUGGUGGGCUACCAAUCUGACAGAAGGGGUGUUAGAAUGCAGGCCUAAAGAGAGACUCGGCUCUACAAUCUUUUGGAUGGCUAAUUUACUGGCGUUAUUGAACCCAGCUACAGUCCCAACGAUUAAAGAUGUAAAUGUGAAAAAAGGUGUAAAUAUGACUCCUCCGUUCGUGAGGAUGGAGAAACAUGGCAGUUUAAUAGAACUGACUAUGGUCCGAUCUCAAGGUCCACAUCUAGAUGAUUUGUACUCCACUCCAGCUUAUUCAAAGUUUCGGUUUAUGAAUAUGACAUGGGGGCAUUAUUCUGGAGAGCUGCGAGACUUGGAGUAUGAUUAUGCGUAUCGCGAACAAGCUUUACGAUUCAGGGAAGCAAAUUGGGUGCGAAAUUCUCUGUUAACCAGGUGGUGUAGGUCUGAUGCGUGCUUCAGAACUCUGGCCCAGCCCGCUACGAAAAUUGCUGUUAGAAAUGGGAAAAAUGUGUAUAAUCCUUAUGAACUGGGCGGCUUCGUUGACCCUCACGGUUACCCCCACUGGUGGCACUCAAAUUGGAGCAGUUACGUCGUCUGGGACUCAGAGAAUUUCCCAUCAUUAGGAGUAGGAUGGGGUUACUUUGCCAACUCGAAAGGCCCCAAAGCUUGUUUUUGUCAGGAGGACAUAGAUGCUGUUGAAUACAGGAGCGACUUGGGUAUAUGGCCCUUUCAAGCAUGGAUUCCUGUUGGUGGGGGUCGUUGGGAGCAGAACUGUUCUGGUUCCUUUCAUUUUCCCAAUCGGACAGGCACAUGUUGGUUGAGUGAAAGAGCUAGGAUGUCUGAUUGGCAAUUUGUCCAGAAGGGUUUUAAAAUUAUUGGCCAAGGAUUAACCUUAGGUAUCAGAGAGGCCGUCAAGGUGGUCGCCCAGGGAGCAGUGGGUGUUGCCUCUCUGGUAAUCUCUGAAUUAUGGGUUUACGCCAAGGUCCCUGUGAUCGUAGGAGGGGUCCUGGUGAUGUUAUCUGUUUGUGUUAAACUCAUGCAUCUUUUGAAGUGUUUUGCCAGCUGCAGCAGGAGAUCUGCUAAUCAGCCCCGAUGGCAGGAGGAAGGGCCUCCUGAGUCAAUUAGAUUGGGACCACGUGGACGCCGGGCACUCAGGAACAGAGCUGCACGCAGGUAGCAUCUCCCUUGUAGAGAAAGUUCUCAAGGUAUCAUGGCCCGUGCAGAAUCUCCACGUGAGGUAUUUGAAGAAGCAGAUGAGGAUGUGCUGAUUACCUCGAAUUACUGAUGGAGAAGUGUCUGGCUGCAUUUUGUGAGAAAGACCUGACCUCAUGUUCACAGAGGAUGGUUGAUGAAUCAGAGGAUCUAUUGCCUGGCCCAGACUCUCAGGAGAUGCUGGUGCUGCCACCCAGUGGACAGAAGCCGCUGGUGAACAAGCGACGUCAGCCUGGGGUGAUGCCACCCAAGAGAGUUUCACUUUACGGGCUGGUGGAUGGUAAACCUGUAAGGAUAAACCCGAAUGGACCGUGGAACGCACAUGUUUGGGAAUGUAUUGUGUUGGUCUCUGAUGGUACCAGUCAUAAAGGGACUCGAGUGGCGAGGAGGGAGAAGAUUCUUCAGAGAAUUACACGCUCGACUUUAGUUAAGCAUUUUGAUUGUGUCAGGCGCGAUGUGUCGCGGGGCCAGACGCGCUUGCCCUGUGUACUCUCCCAUUUCAGGGAAGGCGACGUAGACUGGUGCUGGAUCAGUACACCCCACAACGACUACGUGCAGGAGUGCGAAGAGCCAAGGCGUGUGGUCAGGAUACAACCAUCACCUGCUAAAGUGGACGUUCCGAUGCAGGAAGUGAGCCCUCCGGAGUUCGAUCUGCGUCAGCAACUUCAGGCCGCUCCGUCUGUCCAGGCCAUGGUGCCACCAGUGAUGAAUGCAUUAAAUCCACAUGUUUGCUUGUAUCCAGGGAAUUUGAAUAUGCAGUAUUUUCCGCAGUUUAUGCCAUUUAACCAAGCCUGGUUUCAAGGGGGGUGUUGAAUAAAGAUUUUCGAUUCCUCCAGACCUGUCUUAUUAUAUAAUAGCAGUUCUGGAUUACAUCUCAAAUCUGUAUGUUAGUGAAACCAGGCUUCAGGGUUCAGCUAGAGGUCUGUGUGUGGUGAUUUGACUCCUGAUCUCAUGCUGCCAUAAAUGAUGUGUGUGUUUCAACUAAUCUGCUAUCCAUGACAAAUUUAUGUUGUAGUUUAACCUUGUAUCGACUUUUUAUGGUGUAGCCCAGGAUGUGAUAAGAACUUCAGGGACACGUAUGGAGAUGUUCAUGUUUGACUUCCUUUGAUCUGAGCUGAAGAAGGAAGAAGGAGGAGGGAAGACCCCCGCCCAUCUGGCUGAUACCGGAGGGGGCUGGGAGAAGACCCAAGGCCGGAGAAUGCUUCCGAGGCAGGGGUUGCCAUGGAGACGGAAGGGGGGCCAGAGGAGAGAGUUGGGGAGAAUAAAAGUGUGAGGGCUCCGUGGGCAAGGGGCUUUUUGGUCUCUGGGGGCUUUUUGGGUGUUUGGGGAGAGUUUGGAGGACAACUGUAACGGUUGAGUGAUCUGACCCGCUGCGUCGGGAAAUCUGGAAUAUUUUUACUUCAUCAUAUAAAAUAAAAUAUUUGCUCCUUCAUAUAAGGGGCUUUAAACGGAA